RNAcentral lists this ribosomal RNA (305 nucleotides) under uncultured bacterium. Its description in RNAcentral is "partial 16S ribosomal RNA". It matches the Rfam family "Bacterial small subunit ribosomal RNA", at positions 505 to 808 of the family's 1533-position model. The record is from RNAcentral.
ACAGCAGUAGCCACGGGAAUACAGAGGCCUCAAGCGUUGUUCGGAUUCAUUGGGCGUAAAGGGAGCGUAGGCGGUCGGGUAAGUCGGAUGUGAAAUCCUGGGGCUCAACCUCAGAACUGCAUUCGAUACUGCUUGGCUAGAGGACUGGAGAGGUGAGUGGAAUUCACGGUGUAGCAGUGAAAUGCGUAGAUAUCGUGAGGAAGACCGGCGGCGAAGGCGGCUCACUGGACAGUACCUGACGCUGAUGCUCGAAGGCCAGGGGAGCAAACGGGAUUAGAUACCCCAGUAGUCCCUGUCUCUUAUAU